Thalassophryne amazonica is the source of this 100-nucleotide long non-coding RNA. RefSeq lists it as uncharacterized. The transcript has 3 exons. Lineage: Eukaryota; Metazoa; Chordata; Actinopteri; Batrachoidiformes; Batrachoididae. The record is from RefSeq and is a predicted model, not a curated record.
GUCUGGCUUGAAGGUUUUGAUUUUGUAACAGGGGCUUCUUUCUUGGUCAGCCCCCUCUCAGUCCAUGGCGAUGUAAAACUUGCUUCACUGUGGACAGUGA